CAUGGCUCAGGAUGAACGCUAGCGGCAGGCUUAACACAUGCAAGUCGAGGGGCAGCGGGGAGGAAGCUUGCUUUCUCCGCCGGCGACCGGCGCACGGGUGAGUAACACGUAUGCAACCUGCCCCUGUCAGGGGGACAACCCGCCGAAAGGCGGGCUAAACCCGCGUACAUGCCACCGGGGCAUCCCGGAGGCAGGAAAGGCUUCGGCCGGACAGGGAUGGGCAUGCGGCGCAUUAGGCAGUAGGCGGGGUAACGGCCCACCUAACCGACGAUGCGUAGGGGUUCUGAGAGGAAGGUCCCCCACACUGGUACUGAGACACGGACCAGACUCCUACGGGAGGCAGCAGUGAGGAAUAUUGGUCAAUGGUCGGGAGACUGAACCAGCCAAGCCGCGUGAGGGAGGAAGGUACAGAGUAUCGUAAACCUCUUUUGUCAGGGAACAAAGACUGGGACGCGUCCCCGGAUGAGUGUACCUGAAGAAAAAGCAUCGGCUAACUCCGUGCCAGCAGCCGCGGUAAUACGGAGGAUGCGAGCGUUAUCCGGAUUUAUUGGGUUUAAAGGGUGCGCAGGCGGUCUGUUAAGUCAGCGGUCAAAGCCCGGGGCUCAACCCCGGCCCGCCGUUGAAACUGGCAGUCUCGAGUUGGAGAGAAGUAUGCGGAAUGCGCGGUGUAGCGGUGAAAUGCAUAGAUAUCGCGCAGAACUCCGAUUGCGAAGGCAGCAUGCCGGCUCCACACUGACGCUGAGGCACGAAAGCGUGGGUAUCGAACAGGAUUAGAUACCCUGGUAGUCCACGCAGUAAACGAUGAAUGCUGGCUGUCCGGGGGGACUGACCCCUGGGUGGCGAAGCGAAAGCGAUAAGCAUUCCACCUGGGGAGUACGCCGGCAACGGUGAAACUCGAAGGAAUUGACGGGGGCCCGCACAAGCGGAGGAACAUGUGGUUUAAUUCGAUGAUACGCGAGGAACCUUACCCGGGCUCAAACGGGGAGUGACUCAGGCAGAGACGCCUGUUUCCCACGGGACACUCCCCGAGGUGCUGCAUGGUUGUCGUCAGCUCGUGCCGUGAGGUGUCGGCUUAAGUGCCAUAACGAGCGCAACCCCCGGCGUCAGUUGCUAACAGAUAACGCUGAGGACUCUGCACGGACUGCCGGCGCAAGCCGCGAGGAAGGCGGGGAUGACGUCAAAUCAGCACGGCCCUUACGUCCGGGGCGACACACGUGUUACAAUGGGUGGUACAGCGGGAAGCCAGGCGGCGACGCCGAGCGGAACCCGAAAUCCACUCUCAGUUCGGAUCGGAGUCUGCAACCCGACUCCGUGAAGCUGGAUUCGCUAGUAAUCGCGCAUCAGCCAUGGCGCGGUGAAUACGUUCCCGGGCCUUGUACACACCGCCCGUCAAGCCAUGGGAGCCGAGGGCGCUUGAAGUGCGUCGCCGCGAGGCGCGCCCUAGAGCGAAAUCGGUGACUGGGGCUAAGUCGUAACAAGGUAGCCGU
This 1487-nucleotide ribosomal RNA is filed under the name uncultured bacterium. RNAcentral describes it as "bacterial SSU rRNA". It matches the Rfam family "Bacterial small subunit ribosomal RNA". The record is from RNAcentral.